This is a long non-coding RNA of Ruditapes philippinarum (Manila clam), 495 nucleotides long. RefSeq lists it as uncharacterized. The transcript has 3 exons. The record is from RefSeq and is a predicted model, not a curated record. NCBI's taxonomy places the organism in Eukaryota, Metazoa, Mollusca, Bivalvia, Venerida, Veneridae.
GGCAAUAAGUAGCAGAUGGUUUCAAUAAAAACGUGUUAUAAUUAAAUUGAACAUUGAGCUGAUGUGCGGAUACUUAUAUGUUAGUGAUAUUUUAUGCGAAUAACUUUUGAUUAUUUUUUCUCAGAAGGAUACUACAUAAAAUUUUACUGGAUUUAAUUUUGAUAUAAGAGAAAGGAAAAUGAAAUUAACUUUCAGUUUAAUCGUCAGCAUCAUUUUGGUGAGAAAUUUUCUUCAAGCUUUAGAUUUUGAAGUAGUAGAACUAUCUCACGAGCUUGGAUCAGAUACCUUGUUCUACCCAGGGGAUCCUCCAUUUGUCUUUACCAUCAUAUUCCGUGGCGACACCGGGGAUUACUGGUAUGAGUUAAACAAGUUUGAGACAGCAGACCACGGUGGGACCCAUGUGGACGCACCCUCACAUUUUGCCGAGGGUAAAUUGAGAAUGCACGAAAUUCCAAUGGAGAAAUUAAUUGGACCCGGUGUCAUAAUUGAUGUUAA